RNAcentral lists this ribosomal RNA (167 nucleotides) under uncultured Actinomycetes bacterium. RNAcentral's name for it is "uncultured actinobacterium partial 16S ribosomal RNA". It matches the Rfam family "Bacterial small subunit ribosomal RNA", at positions 1164 to 1330 of the family's 1533-position model. Lineage: Bacteria; Bacillati; Actinomycetota; Actinomycetes. The record is from RNAcentral.
CGGAGGAAGGUGGGGAUGAGGUCAAAUCAUCAUGCCCCUUAUGUCUUGGGCUUCACGCAUGCUACAAUGGCCGGUACAAAGGGCAGCAAUACCGCGAGGUGGAGCAAAUCCCAAAAAGCCGGUCUCAGUUCGGAUUGAGGUCUGCAACUCGACCCCAUGAAGUCGGA